AUAAGUGCAUCAGGUGGAUGCCUUGGCGAUGAUAGGCGACGAAGGACGUGUAAGCCUGCGAAAAGCGCGAAGCGAACCCGGAGAACUGAACCAUCUAAGUACCCGGAGGAAAAGAAAUCAACCGAGAUUCCGCAAGUAGUGGCGAGCGAACGCGGAGGAGCCUGUACGUGAUAACUGUCGAGAUAGAAGAACAAGCUGGGAAGCUUGACCAUAGUGGGUGAUAGUCCCGUAUUCGAAAUCUCAAUAGUGGUACUAAGCGUACGAAAAGUAGGGCGGGACACGUGAAAUCCUGUCUGAAUAUGGGGGGACCAUCCUCCAAGGCUAAAUACUCAUCAUCGACCGAUAGUGAACCAGUACCGUGAGGGAAAGGCGAAAAGAACCCCGGGAGGGGAGUGAAAUAGAACCUGAAACCUGAUGCAUACAAACAGUGGGAGCACCCUUGUGGUGUGACUGCGUACCUUUUGUAUAAUGGGUCAACGACUUACAUUCAGUAGCGAGCUUAACCGAAUAGGGGAGGCGUAGGGAAACCGAGUCUUAAUAGGGCGAACAGUUGCUGGGUGUAGACCCGAAACCGAGUGAUCUAUCCAUGGCCAGGUUGAAGGUGCCGUAACAGGUACUGGAGGACCGAACCCACGCAUGUUGCAAAAUGCGGGGAUGAGCUGUGGAUAGGGGUGAAAGGCUAAACAAACUCGGAGAUAGCUGGUUCUCCCCGAAAACUAUUUAGGUAGUGCCUCGAGCAAGACACUGAUGGGGGUAAAGCACUGUUAUGGCUAGGGGGUUAUUGCAACUUACCAACCCAUGGCAAACUAAGAAUACCAUCAAGUGGUUCCUCGGGAGACAGACAGCGGGUGCUAACGUCCGUUGUCAAGAGGGAAACAACCCAGACCGCCAGCUAAGGUCCCAAAUGAUAGAUUAAGUGGUAAACGAAGUGGGAAGGCCCAGACAGCCAGGAUGUUGGCUUAGAAGCAGCCAUCAUUUAAAGAAAGCGUAAUAGCUCACUGGUCGAGUCGUCCUGCGCGGAAGAUGUAACGGGGCUCAAAUCUAUAACCGAAGCUGCGGAUGCCAGUUUACUGGCAUGGUAGGGGAGCGUUCUGUAGGCCGAUGAAGGUGCAUUGUAAAGUGUGCUGGAGGUAUCAGAAGUGCGAAUGUUGACAUGAGUAGCGAUAAAGCGGGUGAAAAGCCCGCAUACCACGCUUCCAGGAAAAGCCACUAAGCUUCAGUUUGAAUCGAACCGUACCGCAAACCGACACAGGUGGGCAGGAUGAGAAUUCUAAGGCGCUUGAGAGAACUCGGGAGAAGGAACUCGGCAAAUUGAUACCGUAACUUCGGGAGAAGGUAUGCCCUCUAAGGUUAAGGACUUGCUCCGUAAGCCCUGGAGGGUCGCAGAGAAUAGGUGGCUGCGACUGUUUAUUAAAAACACAGCACUCUGCUAACACGAAAGUGGACGUAUAGGGUGUGACGCCUGCCCGGUGCUGGAAGGUUAAUUGAAGAUGUGCAAGCAUCGGAUCGAAGCCCCAGUAAACGGCGGCCGUAACUAUAACGGUCCUAAGGUAGCGAAAUUCCUUGUCGGGUAAGUUCCGACCCGCACGAAUGGCGUAACGAUGGCCACACUGUCUCCUCCCGAGACUCAGCGAAGUUGAAGUGGUUGUGAAGAUGCAAUCUACCCGCUGCUAGACGGAAAGACCCCGUGAACCUUUACUGUAGCUUUGCAUUGGACUUUGAAGUCACUUGUGUAGGAUAGGUGGGAGGCUUUGAAGCAGAGACGCCAGUCUCUGUGGAGCCGUCCUUGAAAUACCACCCUGGUGUCUUUGAGGUUCUAACCCAGACCCGUAAUCCGGGUCGGGGACCGUGCAUGGUAGGCAGUUUGACUGGGGCGGUCUCCUCCCAAAGAGUAACGGAGGAGUUCGAAGGUUACCUAGGUCCGGUCGGAAAUCGGACUGAUAGUGCAAUGGCAAAAGGUAGCUUAACUGCGAGACCGACAAGUCGAGCAGGUGCGAAAGCAGGACAUAGUGAUCCGGUGGUUCUGUAUGGAAGGGCCAUCGCUCAACGGAUAAAAGGUACUCCGGGGAUAACAGGCUGAUUCCGCCCAAGAGUUCAUAUCGACGGCGGAGUUUGGCACCUCGAUGUCGGCUCAUCACAUCCUGGGGCUGUAGUCGGUCCCAAGGGUAUGGCUGUUCGCCAUUUAAAGUGGUACGUGAGCUGGGUUUAAAACGUCGUGAGACAGUUUGGUCCCUAUCUGCAGUGGGCGUUGGAAGUUUGACGGGGGCUGCUCCUAGUACGAGAGGACCGGAGUGGACGAACCUCUGGUGUACCGGUUGUAACGCCAGUUGCAUAGCCGGGUAGCUAAGUUCGGAAGAGAUAAGCGCUGAAAGCAUCUAAGCGCGAAACUCGCCUGAAGAUGAGACUUCC
Molecule: ribosomal RNA, 2409 nt
Filed under: human oral metagenome
Description: bacterial LSU rRNA
Rfam family: Bacterial large subunit ribosomal RNA
Source: RNAcentral